GUGGGAGUAGCUCAGUGGUAGAGUGCAUGCUUAGCAUGCACAAGGUCCUGGGUUCAAUCCCCAGUACCUCUG
Molecule: transfer RNA, 72 nt
Filed under: Camelus bactrianus (Bactrian camel)
Lineage: Eukaryota; Metazoa; Chordata; Mammalia; Artiodactyla; Camelidae
Also listed under: 3 other names
Rfam family: tRNA
About the family: Transfer RNA (tRNA) molecules are approximately 80 nucleotides in length.
Source: Rfam by way of RNAcentral